This is a non-coding RNA of Pelobates cultripes (western spadefoot toad), 780 nucleotides long. Lineage: Eukaryota; Metazoa; Chordata; Amphibia; Anura; Pelobatidae. The record is from the annotation of a GenBank genome assembly.
AUCCAGAGGUGUCUUCCUUCCACCCCCUGACAUUACACUAUCCUGCUGCUGGUAUGGGAAUGUCUCAGAGGAUUCCCAGUGGGUCUGGCAUAGAUAGGAUUAGACUGGCUACACAUACCUCACUCUCAGCUGAGGAAGGAGCAGUCAGCUUUGAUGAUGAGUGUGUGUGUGUGUUUGCAAUACCUCCCUCCUCUCUCUAAUCCACACCCCCAAGUGCUGUAAGACAGGCAGCUAGCAUUGAUCCUGAGCUUGUGCUCCUUCCACCUUCCCAGGCUGGUGCUGCUAUCAGUGUUGGGGACUCUUGGCAGGCUGGCUGUGAGCAUUGUGAGAGCAGGAGGGCACCCCCAGGUUGUCCAUGCCAUAGCUGACUCCUGCAUAGAGAAGAAGGAUUAAGAGGGUGUCUUCUCAUUCACCUGCUUUUUACAUGCACUUCUCUUUCAUCUACAGUAUUCUUCCUUCCCACCUCCUGCCCUGAGCAUCAUCCCUCUAUAUCCUGCCCUGAAUCUCUGUUCUGGCUCCUGCUCUGCCCUCCUGCCUGACCCAGCGCCAUCUGUUUGUCUACCUGAGUGUGUUUGAGAGAGGUGACCUCACUCACAUCACCUAGGGAUGGCUGCUCUGGGAGCCUCAGGGAGCUGCUGCGACUGCUCUUUGUAAAGAAAUACUCAAGGCUUGGGUUUGGAGGCAUCUCAAGCAGGGAAGACCAGGGGUCUGCUGACAUCUUUUAAACUGUGUCGGAUGAGAAGAUUGCCAAGAGACCAGCACCACCAUGAGUACCAGCUG